UGAGACUUUAUCACACCUUGGCCU
Molecule: non-coding RNA, 24 nt
Filed under: Drosophila melanogaster (fruit fly)
Lineage: Eukaryota; Metazoa; Arthropoda; Insecta; Diptera; Drosophilidae
Source: RNAcentral